UACGGAGGGGGCUAGCGUUGUUCGGAAUUACUGGGCGUAAAGCGCGCGUAGGCGGCUCGCCAAGUCGGACGUGAAAGGCCCGGGCUUAACCUGGGACCGGCGUUCGAGACUGGCGGGCUAGGGUCCGGAAGAGGGCAGUGGAAUUCCCAGUGUAGAGGUGAAAUUCGUAGAGAUUGGGAAGAACACCGGUGGCGAAGGCGGCUGCCUGGUCCGUGUCCGACGCUGAGGCGCGAAAGCGUGGGGAGCAAAC
This 250-nucleotide ribosomal RNA is filed under the name uncultured bacterium. RNAcentral's name for it is "partial 16S ribosomal RNA". It matches the Rfam family "Bacterial small subunit ribosomal RNA", at positions 524 to 773 of the family's 1533-position model. The record is from RNAcentral.